Molecule: ribosomal RNA, 484 nt
Filed under: uncultured bacterium
Lineage: Bacteria
Description: partial 16S ribosomal RNA
Rfam family: Bacterial small subunit ribosomal RNA
Source: RNAcentral
AUUGAACGCUGGCGGCAGGCCUAACACAUGCAAGUCGAGCGGAUGAAGGGAGCUUGCCCCUGGAUUCAGCGGCGGACGGGUGAGUAAUGCCUAGGAAUCUGCCUGGUAGUGGGGGAUAACGUCCGGAAACGGGCGCUAAUACCGCAUACGUCCUGAGGGAGAAAGUGGGGGAUCUUCGGACCUCACGCUAUCAGAUGAGCCUAGGUCGGAUUAGCUAGUUGGUGGGGUAAAGGCCUACCAAGGCGACGAUCCGUAACUGGUCUGAGAGGAUGAUCAGUCACACUGGAACUGAGACACGGCCCAGACUCCUACGGGAGGCAGCAGUGGGGAAUAUUGGACAAUGGGCGAAAGCCUGAUCCAGCCAUGCCGCGUGUGUGAAGAAGGUCUUCGGAUUGUAAAGCACUUUAAGUUGGGAGGAAGGGCAGUAAGUUAAUACCUUGCUGUUUUGACGUUACCAACAGAAUAAGCACCGGCUAACUUCGUG